UGUUAAAAAAAUUCAUCCAUUUCUAAUACUAAAAACCUACUUAACUAACAAAAUAACCAAAUAGUGACACAUUAUGUGCCAUGUGUAUCUUAUGAUGAUGUAAAGAGAUUAAUUUUUAACGGUAAAAAUGAAUAAAAAUUUUAAUA
Molecule: non-coding RNA, 146 nt
Organism: Gossypium arboreum
Lineage: Eukaryota; Viridiplantae; Streptophyta; Magnoliopsida; Malvales; Malvaceae
Source: Rfam